This 440-nucleotide ribosomal RNA is filed under the name uncultured bacterium. RNAcentral describes it as "partial 16S ribosomal RNA". It matches the Rfam family "Bacterial small subunit ribosomal RNA", at positions 338 to 795 of the family's 1533-position model. The record is from RNAcentral.
CCUACGGGAGGCAGCAGUGGGGAAUAUUGCACAAUGGAGGGAACUCUGAUGCAGCGACGCCGCGUGAGUGAAGAAGUCCUUCGUUAUGUAAAGCUCUAUCAGCAGGGAAGAAAGCGAUGGUACCUGUAAACUACUCUCUGGCUAAAUCCGUCCCAGCAGCCGCGGUCAUACGUAGGGAGCAAGCGUUAGCCGGAUGUACUGGGUGUAAAGUGAGAGUAGGUGGCAGGGCAAGUCCGAAGUGAAAACCCAAAGCCCAACUAUGGGAAUGCUUUAGAAACUGCUCCGCUAGAGUGCAGGAGAGGCAAGUAGAAGUCUAGGUGUAGUGGUGAAAUGCGUAGAGAUUAGGAGGAAUACCGGUGGCGAAGGCGGCUUGCUGGACUGUGACUGACGCUGAGGUUCGAAAGCGUGGGGAGCAAACAGGAUUAGAUACCCUGGUAGUC